CCUACGGGUGGCAGCAGUGAGGAAUAUUGGGCAAUGGAGGCAACUCUGACCCAGCAACGCCGCGUGAGCGAUGACGGUCUUCGGAUUGUAAAACUCUGUCGCAGGGGACGAAGUAUGACGGUACCCUGUAAGAAAGCCCCGGCAAACUACGUGCCAGCAGCCUCGGUAAUACGUAGGGGGCUCGCGUUGCCCGGCAUUACUGGGCGUAAAGGGAGUGUAGACGGCUUGUCAAGUUCAGAGUGAAAGCCUGCGGCUUAACCGCAGAAGUGAACUUAAAACUGACUCGCUAGAGUGCAGGAGAGGUGAGUGGAAUUCGUAGUGUAGCGGUGGAAUGCGUAGAUAUUAGGCGGAACACCAGAGGCGAAGGCGGCACACUGGACUGUAACUGACGUUGAGGCUCGAAAGCGUGGGGAGCAAACAGGAUUAGAUACCCGAGUAGUC
This 441-nucleotide ribosomal RNA is filed under the name uncultured bacterium. Its description in RNAcentral is "partial 16S ribosomal RNA". It matches the Rfam family "Bacterial small subunit ribosomal RNA", at positions 338 to 795 of the family's 1533-position model. The record is from RNAcentral.